This 700-nucleotide ribosomal RNA is filed under the name uncultured bacterium. Its description in RNAcentral is "bacterial SSU rRNA". It matches the Rfam family "Bacterial small subunit ribosomal RNA", at positions 60 to 769 of the family's 1533-position model. The record is from RNAcentral.
AGUCGAACGAGAUCCAUUCAGUAGCAAUACUGAUGAAGAUCUAGUGGCGAACGGGUGCGUAACACGUGAGGAACUUGUCCCGGUCUCUGGGAUAACAGUUGGAAACGACUGCUAAUACCGGAUGACGUCGGAACUUCGCAUGGAGUACUGACGAAAGGGUUACUGGAUCGGGAGAGCCUCGCGGCCUAUCAGCUUGUUGGUGGGGUAACGGCCUACCAAGGCAUCGACGGGUAGCUGGUCUGAGAGGAUGAUCAGCCACACUGGGACUGAGACACGGCCCAGACUCCUACGGGAGGCAGCAGUGGGGAAUCUUGCACAAUGGGCGAAAGCCUGAUGCAGCAACGCCGCGUGCGGGAAGAAGGCCCUCGGGUUGUAAACCGCUUUCAGAAGGAACGAAACUGACGGUACUUUCAGAAGAAGGUGCGGCCAACUACGUGCCAGCAGCCGCGGUGACACGUAGGCACCAAGCGUUGUCCGGAUUUAUUGGGCGUAAAGAGCUCGUAGGCGGUUCAGUAAGUCGGGUGUGAAAACUUUGGGCUUAACCCAAAGCGUGCAUCCGAUACUGCUGUGACUUGAGUACGGUAGGGGAGCGGGGAAUUCCUAGUGUAGCGGUGAAAUGCGCAGAUAUUAGGAGGAACACCGGUGGCGAAGGCGCCGCUCUGGGCCGAAACUGACGCUGAGGAGCGAAAGCAUGGGUAGC